This is a long non-coding RNA of Aquila chrysaetos chrysaetos, 121 nucleotides long. RefSeq lists it as uncharacterized. The record is from RefSeq and is a predicted model, not a curated record. Lineage: Eukaryota; Metazoa; Chordata; Aves; Accipitriformes; Accipitridae. The transcript has 4 exons.
UGUCGCCGUGGGGACAUUGUGAUGCCGCCGGUGAGGUCGGCCCCGUUGGUGUGGGACAUUUUGCGCACGUCGGGCGUCGCCGUGGGGACAUUGUGAUGCCGCCGGUGAGGUCGGCCCCGUG